This 461-nucleotide ribosomal RNA is filed under the name Salmonella enterica subsp. enterica. Its description in RNAcentral is "partial 23S ribosomal RNA". It matches the Rfam family "Bacterial large subunit ribosomal RNA", at positions 454 to 816 of the family's 2925-position model. Lineage: Bacteria; Pseudomonadati; Pseudomonadota; Gammaproteobacteria; Enterobacterales; Enterobacteriaceae. The record is from RNAcentral. RNAcentral also lists the same sequence under 1 other name.
CAUCCUCCAAGGCUAAAUACUCCUGACUGACCGAUAGUGAACCAGUACCGUGAGGGAAAGGCGAAAAGAACCCCGGCGAGGGGAGUGAAAAAGAACCUGAAACCGUGUACGUACAAGCAGUGGGAGCCCCACCACUAAGCCAGUGGUGAACUCCACAUACGCAUCCUUUGCUGAGGAUACGGUUAACGGAGCGAAAGCGACGUUCAACCGCAAAAGAAGCAGAGGGGGCUUAGUGGUGGGGUGACUGCGUACCUUUUGUAUAAUGGGUCAGCGACUUAUAUUCUGUAGCAAGGUUAACCGAAUAGGGGAGCCGGAGGGAAACCGAGUCUUAAUUGGGCGUUAAGUUGCAGGGUAUAGACCCGAAACCCGGUGAUCUAGCCAUGGGCAGGUUGAAGGUUGGGUAACACUAACUGGAGGACCGAACCGACUAAUGUUGAAAAAUUAGCGGAUGACCUGUGGCU